GGUUUCAAACUCCAAGCCCAGUCAACGUCCACUACUCCCACCACCUAACCGUCACCUCAUCGGCCAUGAAUCACACCUCAAUCCCACCCCCACGACCCUUCCCUCCUCCCUUCGGAUCAUGCUAGCCGCCAUUUCGUGGCUCCGCUCGCGCCGGAUUCGCUGCCUCUUUCUCAUCCUGUGUUCCCCUAUUCUUCUCCCUUUCCUCUGUGCUUCCUUCCCUCUUCUCUGCGCCGUCGAGCUCUGCAUCCGUACUUGCCGCCGCAGCCGGAGGAAAAAGGAAGGAAACGAUGAGAAACGGCUGCGGCGAUGCGAGGAGGGAUUCUGCGAUUGCGAUCGAUUAGUGGAAGAGGAAAAGGAAGUUGGGCUUUUGCAGAGGUAUUUGGAAGAU
Molecule: unclassified non-coding RNA, 388 nt
Filed under: Hevea brasiliensis (rubber tree)
Lineage: Eukaryota; Viridiplantae; Streptophyta; Magnoliopsida; Malpighiales; Euphorbiaceae
Source: RNAcentral